GACGGAGGGUGCAAACGUUGUUCGGAAUCACUGGGCGUAAAGGGCGCGCAGGCGGACCUGUAAGUCAGGAGUGAAAUCUCGGGGCUCAACCCCGAGCCUGCUUCUGAAACUGCAAGUCUUGAGGACUGGAGAGGAAAGUGGAAUUCCCAGUGUAGCGGUGGAAUGCGUAGAUAUUGGGAAGAACACCAGUGGCGAAGGCGACUUUCUGGACAGUUCCUGACGCUGAGGCGCGAAAGCUAGGGGAGCAAACAGG
Molecule: unclassified non-coding RNA, 253 nt
Filed under: uncultured Gemmatimonadota bacterium
Lineage: Bacteria; Pseudomonadati; Gemmatimonadota
Description: uncultured Gemmatimonadetes bacterium contains 16S-23S intergenic spacer region
Rfam family: Bacterial small subunit ribosomal RNA
Source: RNAcentral